UUGGCAAACUUAUUGAAAAGUAAGGACGCAAAGCUAAGGGUCUAAGCCGUCUAAAAACGGUAUGACAGCCGGUUGCUA
RNAcentral lists this non-coding RNA (78 nucleotides) under human gut metagenome. RNAcentral's name for it is "Cyclic di-GMP-I riboswitch". It matches the Rfam family "c-di-GMP-I riboswitch aptamer", at positions 12 to 83 of the family's 87-position model. Rfam says of the family: GEMM was predicted in a large-scale screen for bacterial structured RNA regulatory elements. Genes associated with GEMM are involved in a diverse array of functions, including chemotaxis regulation, signal transduction, secretion and chitin. The record is from RNAcentral.